RNAcentral lists this ribosomal RNA (440 nucleotides) under uncultured bacterium. RNAcentral describes it as "partial 16S ribosomal RNA". It matches the Rfam family "Bacterial small subunit ribosomal RNA", at positions 338 to 795 of the family's 1533-position model. The record is from RNAcentral.
CCUACGGGAGGCAGCAGUGGGGAAUAUUGCACAAUGGGGGAAACCCUGAUGCAGCGACGCCGCGUGAGCGAAGAAGUAUUUCGGUUUGUAAAGCUCUGUCAGCAGGGAAGAACAUGACGAUACCAGAGUAAGAAGCUCCGGCUAAAUACGGGCCAGCAGCCGCGGUAAUACGUAUGGAGCAAGCGUUAUCCGGAUUUACUGGUCGUAAAGGGAGCGUAGGCGGCCUGCCAAUUCUGAUGUGAAAUACCGGGGCUCAACCCCGGGGCUGCAGUGGAAACUGGCAGUCUGGAGUGCAGGAGAGGUAGGCGGAAUUCCUAGUGUAGCGGUGAAAUGCGUAGAUAUUAGGAGGAACACCAGUGGCGAAGGCGGCCUGCUGGACGGUGACUGACGCUGAGGCUCGAAAGCGUGGGGAGCAAACAGGAUUAGAUACCCGUGUAGUC